RNAcentral lists this long non-coding RNA (2014 nucleotides) under Anas platyrhynchos platyrhynchos (common mallard). RNAcentral describes it as "lncRNA (ENSAPLG00000016488.1)". Lineage: Eukaryota; Metazoa; Chordata; Aves; Anseriformes; Anatidae. The record is from RNAcentral.
UGACAUGGCUCCCAAAGGGCAUGUUCCCAUAGUGUAUGAGAUGCAGUUACAUAGCAGGGAAGAGUCCUAAGAGUGGACAAGGGCACCAGCAUAAAAGAGGUGGAUGCUUCAUCUCAGCCAGCACUGGUGUCACCUUGGUGAGAAUGCUACCUCUUAAUCUGUGCCUGAGGAGAAGACUUUCGUUUCCACUUCAGUUAGUCCUGUCUCCUUUGUAAGACUGACAUUCACACAAACAUUUUUAACUGCAAAAGGACAGCCCUGUUUCUGCUUCGCACAGGAGAUGUUUUCCUGUGACCCCUUUGCGUCCUUGUGUUCUAGCAUUUAAAGACAAACAGCUGUCCCAGGCUUCAGCUGGAGGAGGAAAAGGAAGACACCAUCAAGCACAAAUGUUAGUAAGUCACUUUUCCUCUCAUUGUCUGGUAUAUCUAGGAUCAUUUCUAGCCCUGGAAACAAUUGUCUCUCUGAUGCCCUUACAUUUGAUUUUAUUCACUGGUAUUGAACAUCAGCAUUUCAAAAUGCCUUCUUGAAGUGUGAGUCUUGUUUCUCUUGAUUUAAACUGGAAACGGAUCUGCUUCUUUGAUGGAUGCUUGCUGGUCUGGUGGGAUAGAUGAAGAGAACGGACCUACCAGAUGGAGGAGCAGAGCUUGAAAGCAGAACAGAGAUGGAGGAAUAAAACUUGAAAGCAGAACCAAGAUCCAUAUCACCACCCUAAAAAAACAACUACUUUAAAAAACAAGUGAAGAAAAAAAAAAUUGUGACCUUGGACCCUUCCAAAAUGCCAAGAGGCAUUUCUUUGGGGUUGAGCACCUCAGAGGCUUCUGUGUGCUUUUUGUCGUCACCACCAGGGCAGCGUGGCGUGUGGACAAGCCAACUGGUUGGUGCAUCUCAGUUGAGAUGGUGAUAUGACAAGGCCAUGGACAGGACUGACUGCCAGAAUUACUGUCACAAGGAAAUCUUGUGCCUCCUUGGAAAGCAAGGACUCAAAAUCAGAGGUGUUUGGCUUUCUAUAGAACUUCAAGAAGCUCUCCCCCAGUCAGUGGCAAGUUGGUACUCAUGCAGCUGGACACGUACCCCUAGACACAGGGGUGUAUGCACACACACAAGCACGUGUGCACUUCACUAUUUUGCUCAGUGUAUUUUGACCUUCAGCACCAAAGUAGGACUCACUUCUGACUACAGGAUUUAUGUCAAAGCUGAGCCUCUGGGGGCAUCCUUCCCCAAGACAGGGAGAACAAGGACAGGAGACACCCAGGGAGAAGGCUGGCAUGACCUUGAUUUUGCAGCAGCACAGGCAUGAGAAUUUCCAUGGUGGAGUUUGAAAUACCUCUUGGUUUGCAUAGCGGAGAUAAAUUGCACUAAAUAGAAUGGGGAACAUGACGGUAAUUAACAGAAAUGAAAAGAUUUAGCUGUCCAAGUUGAAAGAGGUAGCUGGCCAGCAAAGGAAUGGCUGUAUGUCUGUUUGGAGGGUCGUGUAUCUCAGACACGCUCUGUAGUUGGUCUGCUGCCUUUUCAGUAAAGUCACAUUUGUCCUCCCACUGGGUCUGGCAGGAGCACCAAAGGCAGAAGCUUCUCAGACUUUCACUACCCAAAUUUUAUAGGAAGACGUAGUGAACACUACCUAGUCAUAUCAUACUAUAGGGACAGCCUAGGCUUAGAGACAGUUUUGCAAAAAAAAAAAAAAAAGUAUAUAUAUAGUGUGUAUAUAUAUAUAUAUAUAUAUAUAUAUAUGAACUUGAAUCUCUCGUGUCUUCUGGAUGUGGAUAAGAGGGAGAAAACUGGUGACACCUAAACUCCCCAAACUACUUGACCAUGUAGCUACAGCUACAGCUUCCUGGGCUCCUCUUUCCAACUGCAGCAGCAUCAGUAAUCUUUUGCUAAUAUAUAUGGGUAUAAAAGUUUUUGAGAGAUCCCAAAACAGAAAGACUCUUACCUGUAUCUUUGUUUUCCUUCCUGUGUUAAUAAUAGCCACUAUAUUCCCAAUAAAAAUAUUCAGAGUACUGUGUUACGUCUGUUU